GCUUGCUAUUUUUAUGAAGAGCGGCGAACGGGUGAGUAACGCGUGGGAAAUCUGCCGAGUAGCGGGGGACAACGUUUGGAAACGAACGCUAAUACCGCAUAACAAUGAGAAUCGCAUGAUUCUUAUUUAAAAGAAGCAAUUGCUUCACUACUUGAUGAUCCCGCGUUGUAUUAGCUAGUUGGUAGUGUAAAGGACUACCAAGGCGAUGAUACAUAGCCGACCUGAGAGGGUGAUCGGCCACACUGGGACUGAGACACGGCCCAGACUCCUACGGGAGGCAGCAGUAGGGAAUCUUCGGCAAUGGGGGCAACCCUGACCGAGCAACGCCGCGUGAGUGAAGAAGGUUUUCGGAUCGUAAAACUCUGUUGUUAGAGAAGAACGUUAAGUAGAGUGGAAAAUUACUUAAGUGACGGUAUCUAACCAGAAAGGGACGGCUAACUACGUGCCAGCAGCCGCGGUAAUACGUAGGUCCCAAGCGUUGUCCGGAUUUAUUGGGCGUAAAGCGAGCGCAGGUGGUUUCUUAAGUCUGAUGUAAAAGGCAGUGGCUCAACCAUUGUGUGCAUUGGAAACUGGGAGACUUGAGUGCAGGAGAGGAGAGUGGAAUUCCAUGUGGUAGCGGG
RNAcentral lists this ribosomal RNA (620 nucleotides) under Lactococcus garvieae. RNAcentral's name for it is "bacterial SSU rRNA". It matches the Rfam family "Bacterial small subunit ribosomal RNA", at positions 66 to 682 of the family's 1533-position model. Lineage: Bacteria; Bacillati; Bacillota; Bacilli; Lactobacillales; Streptococcaceae. The record is from RNAcentral.